Molecule: long non-coding RNA, 616 nt
Organism: Nothoprocta perdicaria
Lineage: Eukaryota; Metazoa; Chordata; Aves; Tinamiformes; Tinamidae
Exons: 2
Source: RefSeq, a predicted model, not a curated record
AGCUUUUCUGUCUUCUGGAAGUCUUCCAAGAAACAUUCUUGGUGCUCUACAAGCUUACAGGAGGACUGCACUGUGUUUGGGAAAGUUGGCCUUUUCCUGAAGGCUUACUACAUCAUGGAAAAUGGAAGACUUUUGUUUUCUUUAGUCUACAGAGAAGAAUGGCAGCACAUGCUAUUCAACUGCAUCUCCCAUGGGAUGCUUCUCUGGUGAAUGAAAGAUGGGACUGAGCACUCAUCAUAUUGGUAUGAGCUCUGUGCUUCUUGCCUUCAUGCCAACAUUCAAGUCCCUCUUCUUAAGGGUUGUUUCCUUCUACUUUCUUCUUUUGGAAGACCAGAAGGCCAAUGUGAUGUCAUGCUGUUGCCCAAGUGCUCGUGUGGUGGGCAUCUUCUCCAGGACUUGAUCCUCUCCAUAGAGAGGUUUAGCAUGGUCAGGCUGGAGAGAGGUGGUGGAGGUGAAGGUUGGGCUUUGGUUUGCCUGGCCUGUAGUGCUAGGUUGUAAAGACAACAUCCUUCCCCAGAGACCAUCUCGCCAGCUUCUUCAAGGGGAAUGCCCUAAGGGGAGAUAUCCCAUGGAGACACCGCAAUACUGAGAACAGCACAACUGAGAGAAAUUUUCU